RNAcentral lists this ribosomal RNA (497 nucleotides) under uncultured bacterium. RNAcentral describes it as "partial 16S ribosomal RNA". It matches the Rfam family "Bacterial small subunit ribosomal RNA", at positions 28 to 507 of the family's 1533-position model. The record is from RNAcentral.
GAUGAACGCUGGCGGCGUGCCUAAUACAUGCAAGUCGAGCGAGCAGACGAGGAGCUUGCUCCUCUGACGUUAGCGGCGGACGGGUGAGUAACACGUGGAUAACCUACCUAUAAGACUGGGAUAACUUCGGGAAACCGGAGCUAAUACCGGAUAAUAUAUUGAACCGCAUGGUUCAAUAGUGAAAGACGGUUUUGCUGUCACUUAUAGAUGGAUCCGCGCCGCAUUAGCUAGUUGGUAAGGUAACGGCUUACCAAGGCAACGAUGCGUAGCCGACCUGAGAGGGUGAUCGGCCACACUGGAACUGAGACACGGUCCAGACUCCUACGGGAGGCAGCAGUAGGGAAUCUUCCGCAAUGGGCGAAAGCCUGACGGAGCAACGCCGCGUGAGUAAUGAAGGUCUUCGGAUCGUAAAACUCUGUUAUUAGGGAAGAACAAAUGUGUAAGUAACUAUGCACGUCUUGACGGUACCUAAUCAGAAAGCCACGGCUAACUACGUG